This 257-nucleotide ribosomal RNA is filed under the name uncultured bacterium. RNAcentral describes it as "partial 16S ribosomal RNA". It matches the Rfam family "Bacterial small subunit ribosomal RNA", at positions 793 to 1055 of the family's 1533-position model. The record is from RNAcentral.
GUCCACGCCCUAAACUAUGAAUACUCGAUGUGUGCGAUACACUGUACGCGUCUAAGCGAAAGCGUUAAGUAUUCCACCUGGGGAGUACGUCCGCAAGGAUGAAACUCAAAGAAUUGGCGGGGUCCGCACAAGCGGUGGAGCAUGUGGUUUAAUUCGAUGAUACGCGAGGAACCUUACCAAGGCUAGAAUGCUGGGGGAAUAUAGGUGAAAGCUUAUAGCUAGCAAUAGUCGCCAGCAAGGUGCUGCAUGGUUGUCGU